This 94-nucleotide transfer-messenger RNA is filed under the name Candidatus Babeliales bacterium. Its description in RNAcentral is "partial transfer-messenger RNA". It matches the Rfam family "transfer-messenger RNA", at positions 277 to 374 of the family's 374-position model. From Rfam's summary of the family: Bacterial tmRNA, also known as 10Sa RNA or SsrA, is named for its dual tRNA and mRNA-like properties. Its role is to liberate the mRNA from a stalled ribosome. To accomplish this part of the tmRNA is used as a reading frame that ends in a translation stop signal. Lineage: Bacteria; Candidatus Babeliae; Candidatus Babeliales. The record is from RNAcentral.
UGAUACGGAUCGUGAGUAUAAACAAAAACUAAGCAUGUAGCGCUUGGGGUUCAACGUUUUACGGACAUGGGUUCGACUCCCAUCGCCUCCACCA